RNAcentral lists this ribosomal RNA (652 nucleotides) under uncultured bacterium. RNAcentral's name for it is "bacterial SSU rRNA". It matches the Rfam family "Bacterial small subunit ribosomal RNA", at positions 28 to 669 of the family's 1533-position model. The record is from RNAcentral.
AUUGGACGCUGGCGGCAGGCCUAACACAUGCAAGUCGAGCGGUAGCACAGGAGAGCUUGCUCUCUGGGUGACGAGCGGCGGACGGGUGAGUAAUGUCUGGGAAACUGCCUGAUGGAGGGGGAUAACUACUGGAAACGGUAGCUAAUACCGCAUAACGUCUUCGGACCAAAGUGGGGGACCUUCGGGCCUCACGCCAUCAGAUGUGCCCAGAUGGGAUUAGCUAGUAGGUGGGGUAAUGGCUCACCUAGGCGACGAUCCCUAGCUGGUCUGAGAGGAUGACCAGCCACACUGGAACUGAGACACGGUCCAGACUCCUACGGGAGGCAGCAGUGGGGAAUAUUGCACAAUGGGCGCAAGCCUGAUGCAGCCAUGCCGCGUGUGUGAAGAAGGCCUUCGGGUUGUAAAGCACUUUCAGCGAGGAGGAAGGGUGGUGUGUUAAUAGCGCAUCACAUUGACGUUACUCGCAGAAGAAGCACCGGCUAACUCCGUGCCAGCAGCCGCGGUAAUACGGAGGGUGCAAGCGUUAAUCGGAAUUACUGGGCGUAAAGCGCACGCAGGCGGUUUGUUAAGUCAGAUGUGAAAUCCCCGCGCUUAACGUGGGAACUGCAUUUGAAACUGGCAAGCUAGAGUCUUGUAGAGGGGGGUAGAAUUC